Molecule: small RNA, 297 nt
Filed under: Papio anubis (olive baboon)
Lineage: Eukaryota; Metazoa; Chordata; Mammalia; Primates; Cercopithecidae
Description: Metazoan signal recognition particle RNA (ENSPANG00000044735.1)
Source: RNAcentral
GCUGGGUGUUGUGGCGGGCGCCUGUAGUCCCAGCUACUCUGGAGGCUGAGGCAGAGAGAAUGGUGUGAACCCAGGAGGUGGAGCUUGCAGUGAGCUGAGAUUGAGCCAUUACACUCCAGCCUGGGAAGCGACAGAAGCGAACUCGAUCUCAAAAAAAGAAAGAAAAAGAUCACCAUUUCUUUUUUUUUUUUUUUGAGGCGGGGUCACCGGCUCUGUCACCCAGGCUGGAGUGCAGUGGCCGGAUCUCGGCUCACUGCAAGCUCCGCCUCCGGGUUCACGCCAUUCUCCUGCCUCAGC